Python bivittatus (Burmese python) is the source of this 837-nucleotide non-coding RNA. Lineage: Eukaryota; Metazoa; Chordata; Lepidosauria; Squamata; Pythonidae. The record is from RefSeq and is a predicted model, not a curated record.
UCCUAGGGAUUGCUUUGGUUAUGGAAGAUGAAGAGGGCUACAUGACCAUACAAACUUCAAAACAGUAUACCUACAUGGACGUUGUUCCCAACAAGAAGGAAGGCCCUUCAAAAUGCUGGAAAAUCACACUCGGGGUCAUACUAGGAGGAAGCAUUGCUUUGAAUGUGGGCCUAAUCAUUCUUCUGAUAGUAUUUCAGACACAAGGCGCUUUCUACCCAUCAACUUCAACCAGUUCAUGUGGAUUGAUCCCCGGUACUUUAAUAGGUAAUUCAAAAUUAUUUAUUUUGCUUUCUUUGUUUAGCUUUUUCAAGUCAGGAUUUACAAUAUUGAUAGCCAAAGCAGCUUGUACAGUUCAAGCUAACUGAUGCAGAACACAAAGAGCUGAUGCGGUUCUCUGCAAAUGUCCUUGGAAAGGCAACCACAGCAACUUACCCUGCACAGUAGUAAAAAGAAGCUGUAUUCACAUGACACAUUUGCACAUGAUUUACUCAACUAUCCUAAUUUUUUAGGUUCAUAGAACACACUAACACAAAUCCAAACAAGCAUAUUAUGGCUUAAUACAGAGCCUUUCUCAACUCUGAGAUAUCAUGACACUGAUUCCUGGGGAAAAGCGUCCAUGUAUGCCAAAUGUCCCUUAAAUCCAAAAUUGCAUCAUUUGCAUGAAUUUGCAUCAUUUGUGGCAAUUUAUAUCAUUUACAUCAAUUACAGAUGAUGUACAUUUUUUGCAAAGUGUGUAAUUGGCUCCACCGUUUUGGAAAUAUUAAACUUUUUCAGGGAUUGGGGAGUCUGUAAAAAUGUUGUCUGUAGCAUCCAGAGUCUGCUGAAUGGAAGUCUGAA